This 243-nucleotide long non-coding RNA is filed under the name Lathyrus oleraceus (garden pea). Its description in RNAcentral is "Pisum sativum (pea) long non-coding RNA (PSAT_LNC004342)". Lineage: Eukaryota; Viridiplantae; Streptophyta; Magnoliopsida; Fabales; Fabaceae. The record is from RNAcentral.
UACACUACUUUAAUAAUUUAAAAAAAACUUAACAAUAUCAGAAUGUUUAGAAACGGAAGAACAUAAGUUUUGGGAAAUAUCCACCAAACAUGAUUAACACUCAUCAACUCCGUGUGCAUCCUUUUAGAAAUUACCACGAAAGAAUUCAUGGCAAGUUCAUAAUAGUAUCAAACUUAAGCCAAGAAUGAGCACCAGCUAACAACAUCUACACAAUCCCCAAAUGCCCAAUAUACAGGAUACUCA